GUCCCUAUAGUUCAACGGAUAGAACGAGGGCCUUCUAAGCCCUAGAUGUAGGUUCGAUUCCUACUGGGGACACCA
RNAcentral lists this transfer RNA (75 nucleotides) under Patescibacteria group bacterium. RNAcentral's name for it is "tRNA-Arg". It matches the Rfam family "tRNA". From Rfam's summary of the family: Transfer RNA (tRNA) molecules are approximately 80 nucleotides in length. Their secondary structure includes four short double-helical elements and three loops (D, anti-codon, and T loops). The record is from RNAcentral.